ACUGGGGCGGUCUCCUCCUAAAGAGUAACGGAGGAGCACGAAGGUUGGCUAAUCCUGGUCGGACAUCAGGAGGUUAGUGCAAUGGCAUAAGCCAGCUUGACUGCGAGCGUGACGGCGCGAGCAGGUGCGAAAGCAGGUCAUAGUGAUCCGGUGGUUCUGAAUGGAAGGGCCAUCGCUCAACGGAUAAAAGGUACUCCGGGGAUAACAGGCUGAUACCGCCCAAGAGUUCAUAUCGACGGCGGUGUUUGGCACCUCGAUGUCGGCUCAUCACAUCCUGGGGCUGAAGUAGGUCCCAAGGGUAUGGCUGUUCGCCAUUUAAAGUGGUACGCGAGCUGGGUUUAGAACGUCGUGAGACAGUUCGGUCCCUAUCUGCCGUGGGCGCUGGAGAACUGAGGGGGGCUGCUCCUAGUACGAGAGGACCGGAGUGGACGCAUCACUGGUGUUCGGGUUGUCAUGCCAAUGGCACUGCCCGGUAGCUAAAUGCGGAAGAGAUAAGUGCUGAAAGCAUCUAAGCACGAAACUUGCCCCGAGAUGAGUUCUCCCUGACUCCUUGAGAGUCCUGAAGGAACGUUGAAGACGACGACGUUGAUAGGCCGGGUGUGUAAGCGCAGCGAUGCGUUGAGCUAACCGGUACUAAUGAACCGUGAGGCUUAACCUUACAACGCCGAAGCUGUU
This 675-nucleotide ribosomal RNA is filed under the name Escherichia coli. RNAcentral describes it as "partial 23S ribosomal RNA". It matches the Rfam family "Bacterial large subunit ribosomal RNA", at positions 2273 to 2925 of the family's 2925-position model. The record is from RNAcentral. Lineage: Bacteria; Pseudomonadati; Pseudomonadota; Gammaproteobacteria; Enterobacterales; Enterobacteriaceae.